AAAAGCGUAACAAGGUCUCCGUUGGUGAACCAGCGGAGGGAUCAUUACCGAGUUUACAACUCCCAAACCCCUGUGAACAUACCAAUUGUUGCCUCGGCGGAUCAGCCCGCUCCCGGUAAAACGGGACGGCCCGCCAGAGGACCCCUAAACUCUGUUUCUAUAUGUAACUUCUGAGUAAAACCAUAAAUAAAUCAAAACUUUCAACAACGGAUCUCUUGGUUCUGGCAUCGAUGAAGAACGCAGCAAAAUGCGAUAAGUAAUGUGAAUUGCAGAAUUCAGUGAAUCAUCGAAUCUUUGAACGCACAUUGCGCCCGCCAGUAUUCUGGCGGGCAUGCCUGUUCGAGCGUCAUUUCAACCCUCAAGCCCUCGGGUUUGGUGUUGGGGAUCGGCGAGCCCUUGCGGCAAGCCGGCCCCGAAAUCUAGUGGCGGUCUCGCUGCAGCUUCCAUUGCGUAGUAGUAAAACCCUCGCAACUGGUACGCGGCGCGGCCAAGCCGUUAAACCCCCAACUUCUGAAUGUUGACCUCGGAUCAGGUAGGAAUACCCGCUGAACUUAAGCAUAUCAAUAAGCCG
RNAcentral lists this ribosomal RNA (571 nucleotides) under Fusarium verticillioides. Its description in RNAcentral is "eukaryotic LSU rRNA". The stretch from base 196 to 349 matches the Rfam family "5.8S ribosomal RNA". The record is from RNAcentral. Lineage: Eukaryota; Fungi; Ascomycota; Sordariomycetes; Hypocreales; Nectriaceae.